UCAUUAAAUCAGUUAUCGUUUAUUUGAUAGUACCUUACUACUUGGAUAACCGUGGUAAUUCUAGAGCUAAUACAUGCUAAAAACCUCGACUUCGGAAGGGGUGUAUUUAUUAGAUAAAAAACCAAUGCCCUUCGGGGCUCCUUGGUGAUUCAUAAUAACUUAACGAAUCGCAUGGCCUUGUGCCGGCGAUGGUUCAUUCAAAUUUCUGCCCUAUCAACUUUCGAUGGUAGCGUAGUGGGCUACCAUGGUUUCAACGGGUAACGGGGAAUUAGGGUUCUAUUCCGGAGAGGGAGCCUGAGAAACGGCUACCACAUCCAAGGAAGGCAGCAGGCGCGCAAAUUACCCAAUCCCGACACGGGGAGGUAGUGACAAUAAAUACUGAUACAGGGCUCUUUUGGGUCUUGUAAUUGGAAUGAGUACAAUUUAAAUCCCUUAACGAGGAACAAUUGGAGGGCAAGUCUGGUGCCAGCAGCCGCGGUAAUUCCAGCUCCAAUAGCGUAUAUUAAAGUUGUUGCAGUUAAAAAGCUCGUAGUUGAACCUUGGGCCUGGCUGGCCGGUCCGCCUCACCGCGUGCACUGGUCCGGCCGGGCCUUUCCUUCUGGGGAGCCGCAUGCCCUUCACUGGGUGUGUCGGGGAACCAGGACUUUUACUUUGAAAAAAUUAGAGUGUUCAAAGCAGGCCUAUGCUCGAAUACAUUAGCAUGGAAUAAUAGAAUAGGACGUGUGGUUCUAUUUUGUUGGUUUCUAGGACCGCCGUAAUGAUUAAUAGGGAUAGUCGGGGGCAUCAGUAUUCAAUUGUCAGAGGUGAAAUUCUUGGAUUUAUUGAAGACUAACUACUGCGAAAGCAUUUGCCAAGGAUGUUUUCAUUAAUCAGUGAACGAAAGUUAGGGGGAUCGAAGACGAUCAGAUACCCGUCGUAGUCUUAACCAUAAACUAAUGCCGACUAGGGAUCGGGGCGAUGUUAUCUUUUU
This 970-nucleotide ribosomal RNA is filed under the name Helotiales sp. A3G. RNAcentral describes it as "SSU rRNA". It matches the Rfam family "Eukaryotic small subunit ribosomal RNA", at positions 98 to 1073 of the family's 1831-position model. The record is from RNAcentral. Lineage: Eukaryota; Fungi; Ascomycota; Leotiomycetes; Helotiales.